This 73-nucleotide transfer RNA is filed under the name Ipomoea nil (Japanese morning glory). It matches the Rfam family "tRNA". Rfam says of the family: Transfer RNA (tRNA) molecules are approximately 80 nucleotides in length. Their secondary structure includes four short double-helical elements and three loops (D, anti-codon, and T loops). Lineage: Eukaryota; Viridiplantae; Streptophyta; Magnoliopsida; Solanales; Convolvulaceae. The record is from Rfam by way of RNAcentral.
GCGGGGAUAGCUUAGUUGUGAGAGUGUCAGAUUGAAGAUCUAAAGGUCAUAUGUUCGAUCCACGUUCACCACA